This 318-nucleotide long non-coding RNA is filed under the name Elaeis guineensis (African oil palm). RNAcentral describes it as "long non-coding RNA (EGUI_LNC019621)". The record is from RNAcentral. Lineage: Eukaryota; Viridiplantae; Streptophyta; Magnoliopsida; Arecales; Arecaceae.
CAUUUACCUAACCUUAAUUUAGAAGUCAUCAUAACCUUCAUUUAGAAGUCAUCAUGGAAAGACAGAAAAAACCAAAGGGAUGAUCAACUAACCAAGUAUCAUAUAAAGUGGAUAAUCAAUCUAAAAUUUUCAAACACCACCAUUCUCCUCUCCACAAGCAUACUAUAAAUUGAUGAAGGAGGUCUCUUUCUGUAUUCACUACAUCUAGACUUUUUAAUAAUAACAAAAAGAUAAAGCUUAUGCUUAUUAUUUCAAUUUUUUAUUUUCUUUUUUUUAGCAAAAAAAUUUAAUUUCUCCUUCUUAGCACUACAAUAGCCG